This 663-nucleotide long non-coding RNA is filed under the name Volvox carteri. Its description in RNAcentral is "long non-coding RNA (VCAR_LNC004400)". Lineage: Eukaryota; Viridiplantae; Chlorophyta; Chlorophyceae; Chlamydomonadales; Volvocaceae. The record is from RNAcentral.
GGUCGUGUCUCCAUCAUCCUAACAUGGGCCAUCACCUCGCUUCGGCCGCCUCCACCACCACAUCUCCCAUCCGAGGAGCCUCCUGGUCCUGGCUCGCGGGCGGCCUUUCCUGAGCAGCGCCUGAGGACAUGGCCCCGGCUGUCCGGGUACCUUCCUCCUGCACCUGCGACUCCUCACACAGCCGGCCUCUGCUGCAAAGAUAAUACCUUGUUCUUCCGGUCGUUCCCACCUGGGAACGUCCCAGUCAACCAACCGGAAUACGUGUUCACAUCGUGUCAGCAAGGGUUUGCCAUAUUUCAGGGACUCCUGACGGAGGGCAUCCUGCCUUAUUUCUGUCACAUCCUUGAAGUUCCAUGCUAUGCUCUGUAGUCGUAUUUCAAUCUCCUUCACGGCACUUUAAGAUGUACCUCUCCUUCAAGCCUAACUUGCAGUCACAUGCACCCCUUUCCCGCAUGAGCCAUCCAGGCUCACUUCAGUCACCUUUACAGUCCCCCAGCAUAGGCCAUCUGGCCUCUCUUUUAAUGACCUCUCCGGCCUCCCACAGGACUAUCACGCCUCCUUUCAGUCCCCACUGCCAUCCUGAGCAUAGACCAUCUGGUGCGCUCAGCGACAUGCACGAUGUCCAAACAUCGGUCAUCCCGCCCUUCAUUCCUUCAUCUCUGC